Molecule: long non-coding RNA, 2265 nt
Organism: Prinia subflava (tawny-flanked prinia)
Lineage: Eukaryota; Metazoa; Chordata; Aves; Passeriformes; Cisticolidae
Exons: 7
Source: RefSeq, a predicted model, not a curated record
GUUUUGACUGUUCCAGUUCUAGAUGAGUGUACAUUUCCUGCAUGCUCAGGGUCUUUAUUUGCACUUACAUUAGUGCAGCGAGGACUGUAGUGAUGCAACCAGCCAAACCUCCUGGUCUGCUCCUUCUGUGGCAGCCUUUGUGAGCCUUCAUGUAAGAGCAGCUGUUCAAAGGGCUGAACGUUGAGUAAGACACAACCAGGCACUGCCAGAGAGGCUGGAGAACCUUCUAGGAGAUGUCCUGAAGCCCAGGAAAUUGGGCAGAAUAGCAGCAGAGGACUGAGAAGGAGAAAAACCUGAAGUUGACUGGAAACGUUGGUUGGUCAGCAUUUCAGGAACAGGGAGUUUCUUAUAUGGAGCUGUACACCAGAGAAAAUGCAUUUUUACAUCACAAAAGGAAGAUGAUGAAUUGGCUUUCCCCUUGAAAAACAGACUCCUCCAUUGAAAACAACUGGGUAAGAAACUUAGAGGUGAACUCUUUGUCUGCCAUGUAGGAUAUCUGAUGUCCUGCUGCCUGAGAAGAGUCUCUCAUGAAAAAGAAAAAGGAACAGGGGAAAAGAGUGUCUUGGAUUGUCCUCCCUUCUAGACUGGAUCAGCUGGGACAUAUUCUGUUGCAAUCUUUCUCAGCAACUCUUUAAAUUAAAAGAUUUUCUGCUAGAUAUCGAAAAAGGCUCUGAGUGUGGCUAUGAAGUCUGAAUGGUUCUUGCUGGCCAGAGCCUAUGGAGCUUCUGUCUUUCUGUCAUUUCAAGUGUCAUGCAGACAACCAAAACCCACAGCAAUAAAACCUUCACAGUACAACAAACUCCCAUGCUGCUAAUGUAUGCCACAUGGAGCAUUUUGUUUCUAACUGGUCACACUUGGAAAUGAUUCAGUUUCUUUUUGCCACCAAACCCCAUUGUACAAAGCAACCUUUUCCUGUUUGAAGUCCAAUUUGUUUUUUGGGAAAAAAUGAGGCAUUUCUCUUGUGUGAGGCUUAAUAUUUGUGGACAUACAGUCAUACAUAGAUUUCAUAGAAUAUUCUCGGUUGGAAGGGACCCACAAAGAUCAUCUAAUCCAACUCUUAAGUGGAUGACCCUCAUGAGGAUCAAAUCUACAACCUGGGUGUUAUUAGCACCAUGCUCUAAUCAACUGAGUUCACUGGGGUGAUAAAAUAAAACCAAUCAAAAUAUUUGCAUUUCUUUAAGAUUAUUUUAAAUCCUUCUGUUAAAAUCCAGUGAUAUGUGUAAUAGAUUUUCAUGACUUAAGGCUCCACCACUUACAAAAAUACUCAUCGUGUCUUUUCUACAAACUCUUGUACACAGAAUAGUUUGUGCUGCUAACAAAGAAAAAUGCAUUUUAGAAUAAAAUGUGUUUACUGGCUAGGAGGCCUCAGGAAACAUGACAAAAUAUCUUCUGUUGGUUGGUUUUGAUUUUUUUUUUUUUUUUAAUUUGGCAAAAGAGCAGUUUCAGUGAGCUGAAUCCAAAUGUAUUCUCAGCUGGGGAGAAAGGACUGAUUGAUGGUGGUAAAUAUUAAACUGUUCAAGGCCCCUGCUUCACAGCACAUAAAACCAGUCACAUCAACUCAUGUUUCACUUUUUAUGUCUUUUCUUUGAAAAAGACACAAAAAAAUCUGAUAAGCACAGCUCGAAGCCCCACCAAGCUGCCCGUACAACCAGCCUCCCCAGCAUGCAAUUACUUACACAUUUAUCAUGAGAAAAGGACACCCUUAGAUAACAGCGCUCCAAGGGGUCAGGAUGCAAAUUGGGUGCGAAUUUGCUCUAAUGGUGGGAAGCACGGCUCCUACACAUUAAGGCAGUGGGUGCUGAUGUUUAAUUGCAUCGGCCUGCUUAUGGCUUCUAGGGGACAAUCCAGUCACAAAAGCCACCAGGGGCUGUGUGGCUUCAAGUCUUAUUGGCAUGGACACACUUCUGUGGCUGCAGACACACACAGAAGUGUUGGUUAAGAGGAAGACAGGUGGUUGAAGAAGUGAUGAGGAUUGUAACUGAAUUAAGGUUUAAAUAACAAUACUGCACUUUUUUGGCAGCUCCUACAGCUUCGUAUUAAUGUGGCUGCUCCCAGUUUUCCCAAGAGGCUGCAGGGGAAAGGCAGACCUCAGUCUCCAGUCUUUGCUGGGUGAGCUGGGCUCAGGGAGCAGCGUGCACUGACCCCUAGAUCACACGUGGGAAUUUUGCUCAUGAGGAUCAUUCACAGGAUAAUAGAAUCACUCAGGUUGGGGAAGAGCUCUCAGAUCACUGAGUCCAACCAUUAACCCAGCACUACCAUGUUCAC